AAGAGUUUGAGUAAAGUAAACUAAGUGAUGUUAUUUGUGACAUUUUUUGUCUUGGAAACUAUUGCUUCUAUUUAAGAUUAGGAAUCCUUUUAUCCAUAAUCUGUUUUUCAUUAGGGCACUUGACUUUCUGGAUAAAAGGUGUCGAGGUGUGUGGUACAUUCCAUUAGCUUUGCACAGUUCAAUUAUUGUUUCAUUAAUGAAUAUGCAAUCUCUGCAGUGAAAUUAAAGCUGUUAUGUUUGUUCCCCCAGCUCGUCAAGUACUAAGCUUUACACCCCUAGCAGCAAAUUUACCCUGGCAGCAUAUGAGUGAAAACGCUGGAGUUAGGAGAAAUUCAUCGCUUUGUUAUUGGCCCUUGGACGCCCCUGGCAUCUCGUGUACAGCACAAAGUUUUCAGCUAUGAAGAUUUCCAGCGACUCCAGAAUGAAAACCAAGCUCUGAGGGAGGAGAACCAAGCCCUGAGGGAAUGCAAUGCACAAGCAGCUUCGGAUGACAGCGGCUCACUUCAAGAGCAGGUGAAGCAAGUAGGGACAAUGUUGAAGACAUUGGUGCGUUACCUGAAAGGAGCAUCUGACCGUGAAGGCAGAAAAAGCGCCGCACAGCUGAGAGGGACCCACAGCCGACCCCUUACACCUUGGCUGACUACUGGCACCCCAGCAUCACUGAACUGGAACACUUUCUUUAUCCUGCAGUCAGUAACAUCAAGAAGCCAGAAAUGCCAGACUACACUCACCAAACCCACCCUGUUCACUGUGGAUGUUUUUUUUGUUUGUUUGUAUUUUAACUUUAGUAUUGGCUUAUUUCCUUC
Long non-coding RNA from Esox lucius (northern pike), 806 nucleotides. Lineage: Eukaryota; Metazoa; Chordata; Actinopteri; Esociformes; Esocidae. The record is from Ensembl.